Molecule: transfer RNA, 112 nt
Filed under: Salmonella enterica subsp. enterica serovar Meleagridis
Lineage: Bacteria; Pseudomonadati; Pseudomonadota; Gammaproteobacteria; Enterobacterales; Enterobacteriaceae
Description: tRNA-Lys
Rfam family: tRNA (bases 1-66)
About the family: Transfer RNA (tRNA) molecules are approximately 80 nucleotides in length.
Source: RNAcentral
UCGUUAGCUCAGUUGGUAGAGCAGUUGACUUUUAAUCAAUUGGUCNCGUUCGGUGGAAACGAGAAUAAAACGUGAAGGAUAACGUUGCGUCAGCAACGGCCUGUAGGGCGAG